GGCCACAUCAGCAAAGUGAGAAUGGAAGCUUUUCUGAGGAGGUGAGAGAUCUGAGUCAUGUAAAGAAAGAAGCCAGGUGAAGAUCUAGGAGAAGAAUAUCCCAGGUAAGAUAAUCUCCUGGAGGCAGGAACGAGAUGGAUAUGUUUUAGGGAACUGACUCAGCCUGUGUUAUUGAAAGGUGGAAGGCGUGGUAGAGAUGAGACAGGAAAGUUCAGCGGGCCACGUGGACCAUGGUGAUGGGAAGUCAUUGAACAGUUUUGAGCAGGGAAGGUAACAGGGUCUAAUUAAUUCUCUCAAAAAAUCACUCACUAUGUGGGAGAGGAUGUGUUAUGGUCAGGGAAGGUGGACAGCAAGUACAGAGACAGGCAGAGUUGGAC
This 377-nucleotide long non-coding RNA is filed under the name Marmota monax (woodchuck). The record is from RNAcentral. Lineage: Eukaryota; Metazoa; Chordata; Mammalia; Rodentia; Sciuridae.